GACGAACGCUGGCGGCGUGCUUAACACAUGCAAGUCGAACGGAAAGGCCCUGCUUUUGUGGGGUGCUCGAGUGGCGAACGGGUGAGUAACACGUGAGUAACCUGCCCUUGACUUUGGGAUAACUUCAGGAAACUGGGGCUAAUACCGGAUAGGAGCUCCUGCUGCAUGGUGGGGGUUGGAAAGUUUCGGCGGUUGGGGAUGGACUCGCGGCUUAUCAGCUUGUUGGUGGGGUAGUGGCUUACCAAGGCUUUGACGGGUAGCCGGCCUGAGAGGGUGACCGGCCACAUUGGGACUGAGAUACGGCCCAGACUCGUACGGGAGGCAGCAGUGGGGAAUAUGGCACAAUGGGCGGAAGCCUGAUGCAGCAACGCCGCGUGCGGGAUGACGGCCUUCGGGUUGUAAACCGAUUUCGCCUGUGACGAAGCGGGAGUGACGGUAAUGGGUAAAGAAGCACCGGCUAACUACGUG
RNAcentral lists this ribosomal RNA (468 nucleotides) under uncultured bacterium. RNAcentral describes it as "partial 16S ribosomal RNA". It matches the Rfam family "Bacterial small subunit ribosomal RNA", at positions 28 to 507 of the family's 1533-position model. The record is from RNAcentral.